Molecule: ribosomal RNA, 460 nt
Filed under: uncultured bacterium
Lineage: Bacteria
Description: partial 16S ribosomal RNA
Rfam family: Bacterial small subunit ribosomal RNA
Source: RNAcentral
CCUACGGGUGGCAGCAGUGAGGAAUAUUGGUCAAUGGACGAGAGUCUGAACCAGCCAAGUAGCGUGAAGGAUGACUGCCCUAUGGGUUGUAAACUUCUUUUAUAUGGGAAUAAAACGUUCCACGUGUGGGAUUUUGUAUGUACCAUAUGAAUAAGAAUCGGCUAACUCCGUGCCAGCAGCCGCGGUAAUACGGAGGAUCCGAGCGUUAUCCGGAUUUAUUGGGUUUAAAGGGAGCGUAGGUGGAUUGUUAAGUCAGUUGUGAAAGUUUGCGGCUCAACCGUAAAAUUGCAGUUGAAACUGGCAGUCUUGAGUACAGUAGAGGUGGGCGGAAUUCGUGGUGUAGCGGUGAAAUGCUUAGAUAUCACGAAGAACUCCGAUUGCGAAGGCAGUUCACUGGACUGCAACUGACACUGAGGCUCGAAAGUGUGGGUAUCAAACAGGAUUAGAUACCCUAGUAGUC